This 862-nucleotide ribosomal RNA is filed under the name uncultured bacterium. Its description in RNAcentral is "bacterial SSU rRNA". It matches the Rfam family "Bacterial small subunit ribosomal RNA", at positions 8 to 881 of the family's 1533-position model. The record is from RNAcentral.
AGAGUUUGAUCAUGGCUCAGGAUGAACGCUGGCGGCGUGCCUAACACAUGCAAGUCGAACGGACUUACAUUGAAGCCUAGCGAUAUGUAAGUUAGUGGCGGACGGGUGAGUAACGCGUGGGUAACCUGCCUUGUACUGGGGGACAACAGUUGGAAACGACUGCUAAUACCGCAUAAGCGCACAGCUUCGCAUGAAGCAGUGUGAAAAACUCCGGUGGUACAAGAUGGACCCGCGUCUGAUUAGCUGGUUGGUGAGGUAACGGCCCACCAAGGCGACGAUCAGUAGCCGGCCUGAGAGGGUGAACGGCCACAUUGGGACUGAGACACGGCCCAAACUCCUACGGGAGGCAGCAGUGGGGAAUAUUGCACAAUGGGGGAAACCCUGAUGCAGCAACGCCGCGUGAGUGAAGAAGUAUUUCGGUAUGUAAAGCUCUAUCAGCAGGAAAGAAAAUGACGGUACCUGACUAAGAAGCCCCGGCUAACUACGUGCCAGCAGCCGCGGUAAUACGUAGGGGGCAAGCGUUAUCCGGAUUUACUGGGUGUAAAGGGAGCGUAGACGGUUUUGCAAGUCUGAAGUGAAAGCCCGGGGCUUAACCCCGGGACUGCUUUGGAAACUGUAGGACUAGAGUGCAGGAGAGGUAAGUGGAAUUCCUAGUGUAGCGGUGAAAUGCGUAGAUAUUAGGAGGAACACCAGUGGCGAAGGCGGCUUACUGGACUGUAACUGACGUUGAGGCUCGAAAGCGUGGGGAGCAAACAGGAUUAGAUACCCUGGUAGUCCACGCCGUAAACGAUGAUUAUUAGGUGUUGGUGGGUAUGACCCAUCGGUGCCGCAGCACACGCAAUAAGUAAUCCACCUGGGGAGU